This is an RNA transcript of Zingiber officinale, 1361 nucleotides long. It is a transcript of the gene named chorismate synthase, chloroplastic-like, with no coding region annotated. The transcript has 8 exons. The record is from RefSeq and is a predicted model, not a curated record. NCBI's taxonomy places the organism in Eukaryota, Viridiplantae, Streptophyta, Magnoliopsida, Zingiberales, Zingiberaceae.
GCACCCUCUUCGUGUUUUUUCGCCCGACGCACAGAUUCAACUUCACUCGACAACCUUCGACUCCCCCAGUGGCCUACCACUCACCGCCGGCGACCUUCGACUCUCCCGAUAGCAAAUCUACUUCACCCAGUCGGCGAUCUUCGAGUUGUUCCCCCGAAUGCAUAAAGAUCCUUUCCUCUCUGCAGAGCUAGGUCUUCUUCGUGUUUUUUAGCCUUUCGCCUUCUGCUUGUUUUUUCGCCUGACGCAAACAAUUGACUUCACCCGGUGUUAUUUGACUCCACCAGCGACAAAUCUACUUUACCUGGGGGUCGUCGUUCAGGUUUUCUACAGCUCUAGGUUUGUUCCCUCUCCGACCCCUUCUUUCCUUUCCUCUCUGCCUUGCUGUUAGAUUUCUUUUCCUUUCAUCUCUGUUGCGUUGUUUCUAACCAAUUGUCUCUAACCGAUCCUAAGAGGCAAGUCUUAUUCUCUAUUUUAUUGGUAUUAUUUUUUUUUUUGGCAUGAUCUCAUAAACUAAAACCUGAUGGAGCAAGACAAGAAUUGUACAUAUGAACUAUUGCUAGGGGUAUUUAAUUUCUUGAUAUUCAUUGUACAACAAGAGAGAUUAUUGGUAGGGUUGCUUCAGGAGCUAUUGCAAAGAAGAUUCUUAAGAUGUAUGCAGGAACUGAGAUUUUGGCAUAUGUUUCUCAAGUUCAUAAAGUUGUGCUUCCUGAAGGUGUUGUUGAUCAUGAGACAGUGACCCUUGAUCAAAUUGAGAAUAACAUCGUCAGAUGUCCGGAUCCAGAUUAUGCUCAAAAGAUGAUUGAAGCCAUCGAUGGAGUUCGAGUUAAGGGAGACUCUGUUGGAGGCAUAGUGACAUGCAUUGCUCGAAAUGUUCCACAAGGGCUUGGAUGUCCAGUCUUUGAUAAAUUGGAAGCUGAUUUGGCAAAAGCUAUGUUGUCUCUCCCUGCAACGAAGGGAUUUGAAAUUGGCAGUGGUUUUUCAGGUUAUUCAUGAAAAACAAAAAGAACGAACAAUGCAUUAUAAAUAUUAUUUCGCAAAGGUUACAUCGGCUUAGAGGUUGAAUUGCGGGAGAAAAAAUUAAUUGCUGAAAAUGAGGAAGUUGAUAGAUCGUUGCUUUGGCAUAAAGCUCGCGAGGACAAAUCUGGCAAUAUUACAAAUAUAGAGAUAGCAAAAGUCGUUGAAAAAAUUGAUGACUUGUUGGAAAAGAAGGUCAAAGGAGAGUUCAAGUCUUCUGGGAUGAACGAUGUGUUAACCACUACCUUAGGAAAUCGAGAACACUAUGGACGAGUUAGAGGUGUGGGAGGAUGUGUAAAACCCCAACUCUACUUUAAAACUGAUAGAUAUUUGUGAUAUAUUUGUUC